AAGGAUUUAGUUUAAUUAAAACUUUAGUUUGUCAAACUAAGAACAUUAUUCUAUAUAAUAUUCCUUA
This 67-nucleotide transfer RNA is filed under the name Adrisa magna. RNAcentral's name for it is "tRNA-Asp". It matches the Rfam family "tRNA". Rfam says of the family: Transfer RNA (tRNA) molecules are approximately 80 nucleotides in length. Their secondary structure includes four short double-helical elements and three loops (D, anti-codon, and T loops). Lineage: Eukaryota; Metazoa; Arthropoda; Insecta; Hemiptera; Cydnidae. The record is from RNAcentral.